GCUCCAUUCGUCUAGUGGCCUAGGACAUCGCCCUUUCACGGCGGUAACACCGAUUCGAAUUCGGUAUGGAGCGCCA
Molecule: transfer RNA, 76 nt
Filed under: Pseudomonas putida
Lineage: Bacteria; Pseudomonadati; Pseudomonadota; Gammaproteobacteria; Pseudomonadales; Pseudomonadaceae
Description: tRNA-Glu
Rfam family: tRNA
About the family: Transfer RNA (tRNA) molecules are approximately 80 nucleotides in length. Their secondary structure includes four short double-helical elements and three loops (D, anti-codon, and T loops).
Source: RNAcentral